AGAGUUUGAUCCUGGCUCAGGAUGAACGCUAGCGACAGGCUUAACACAUGCAAGUCGAGGGGCAUCGGGGAGCGAAGCUUGCUUUGCUCCGCCGGCGACCGGCGCACGGGUGAGUAACGCGUAUGCAACCUGCCCGUUUCAGCGGGAUAACCCGGAGAAAUCCGGCCUAAUACCGCAUGUGGCCGAGGGAAGGCAUCUUCUUUCGGCCAAAGGAGGCGACUCCGGAGACGGAUGGGCAUGCGUGACAUUAGCUUGUUGGCGGGGUAACGGCCCACCAAGGCGACAAUGUCUAGGGGUUCUGAGAGGAAGGUCCCCCACACUGGUACUGAGACACGGACCAGACUCCUACGGGAGGCAGCAGUGAGGAAUAUUGGUCAAUGGUCGGGAGACUGAACCAGCCAAGCCGCGUGAGGGAGGAAGGUACAGAGUAUCGUAAACCUCUUUUGUCAGGGAACAAAGGCGGGGACGCGUCCCCGGAUGAGUGUACCUGAAGAAAAAGCAUCGGCUAACUCCGUGCCAGCAGCCGCGGUAAUACGGAGGAUGCGGGCGUUAUCCGGAUUUAUUGGGUUUAAAGGGUGCGUAGGCGGAAUAUCAAGUCAGCGGUAAAAAUUCGGGGCUCAACCCCGUCGUGCCGUUGAAACUGAUGUUCUUGAGUGGGCGAGAAGUAUGCGGAAUGCGUGGUGUAGCGGUGAAAUGCAUAGAUAUCACGCAGAACUCCGAUUGCGAAGGCAGCAUACCGGCGCCCAACUGACGCUGAAGCACGAAAGCGUGGGUAUCGAACAGGAUUAGAUACCCUGGUAGUCCACGCAGUAAACGAUGAAUGCUAAUUGUCCGGAGGGAUUGACCUCUGGGUGAUACAGCGAAAGCGUUAAGCAUUCCACCUGGGGAGUACGCCGGCAACGGUGAAACUCAAAGGAAUUGACGGGGGCCCGCACAAGCGGAGGAACAUGUGGUUUAAUUCGAUGAUACGCGAGGAACCUUACCCGGGCUCAAACGCAGGAGGAAUACAUUUGAAAGGGUGUAGCUCUACGGAGUCUUCUGCGAGGUGCUGCAUGGUUGUCGUCAGCUCGUGCCGUGAGGUGUCGGCUUAAGUGCCAUAACGAGCGCAACCCCUAUCGACAGUUGCCAACAGGUGAAGCUGGGAACUCUGUCGAGACUGCCGGCGCAAGCUGAGAGGAAGGCGGGGAUGACGUCAAAUCAGCACGGCCCUUACGUCCGGGGCGACACACGUGUUACAAUGGCGGCCACAGCGGGAAGCCAGGCGGCGACGCCGAGCGGAACCCGAAAAGCCGUCUCAGUUCGGAUUGGAGUCUGCAACCCGACUCCAUGAAGCUGGAUUCGCUAGUAAUCGCGCAUCAGCCUCGGCGCGGUGAAU
This 1375-nucleotide ribosomal RNA is filed under the name uncultured bacterium. RNAcentral's name for it is "bacterial SSU rRNA". It matches the Rfam family "Bacterial small subunit ribosomal RNA", at positions 8 to 1367 of the family's 1533-position model. The record is from RNAcentral.